RNAcentral lists this long non-coding RNA (233 nucleotides) under Neogale vison (American mink). Its description in RNAcentral is "Neovison vison (American mink) lncRNA (ENSNVIG00000014355.1)". The record is from RNAcentral. Lineage: Eukaryota; Metazoa; Chordata; Mammalia; Carnivora; Mustelidae.
CUCACACCAUCUGAGGGUAGCAGCAAUGAAGUAGAAGAAGCAGGUUUGCUAACUCUGAAAUCCUUUCCAGAGUAGCCAGUGAGGGAACAUCCUGUCGCACAUUAUGGGAGCUACAGGCCUUUCGAGUAAUCACCUGCAACCCUUCCUUGACGCCACUGGUGGUCUGCCGUCUUGAAGGCUGCGUCCGCUCCAGGUGAAAGCCCCACGGUCAGGUGCUCCUCGUUCUAUAACCU